RNAcentral lists this long non-coding RNA (281 nucleotides) under Nicotiana benthamiana. RNAcentral's name for it is "long non-coding RNA (NBEN_LNC007107)". The record is from RNAcentral. Lineage: Eukaryota; Viridiplantae; Streptophyta; Magnoliopsida; Solanales; Solanaceae.
GAGCUUGGUUUGGUGAUCAAUAGCUAUUUUCUUUUUGCUUUUGAUUUGGAUUACUAUUGAACAAUCAUUGGCGUGUGGUCUGUGGAUUGUUUGUACUGGCUUUUGGUCGAAGUCCAUUCAAGAUUUCGAGUUCUGGUUUCGCUCAUGGACAGAUCCGCGUUUCCUCACCACUGUUACUUGUUGUUCCGUCGAGUUUCCCGUUGAACGUCCAAAAGUAGGAUCCAAACUUCUAUUUUGAUAAAACUCCGUCAAGGUUCAUUUCUCACUUUCCCUAUGUGAUU